This 827-nucleotide unclassified non-coding RNA is filed under the name Hevea brasiliensis (rubber tree). Lineage: Eukaryota; Viridiplantae; Streptophyta; Magnoliopsida; Malpighiales; Euphorbiaceae. The record is from RNAcentral.
AUAUCCACAGGCACCUGAAUGCUCUCUAAUUUGUGCAAUGCAAGUUUUAAUGGCUCCGUUAUUUUACAGUAUUUCUGAAGUAGCAAACUUGCAGCUUCUUUGUCACCUUUUGCCUGUAUAGUUAGAAGAACUUCCCUACUAAGGCUUUCAACUGCCCCUUCAACCUUAGCAAAAUCAACAGAGAAUGUCUCAUCAGGGUGUAAUAUAAAGGCUUCUUUCUCAAAUAACCAGUUGAACUGCAUUGCUUGUCCUUUUCCAUGAGCUUCCUCUAAACCAAAUCGAACAGAGCGAAAGCACCCCGCAAGAAAAGAAACAUACAUAGACUUCACCAAACUCUUUGGAAGCAAAUCCUUGUUGAUUAAAAACUUGAGUGCCCAAAGGCCAACUAUAUCAGCUUUUGCUUCUUCCAAAGCUGAGUGAAGUUCCUGCAACUUCUCUCUCACUGUAGACUUUUGACCGUUUGGAAGUGUUAUAGUAUGAGGACCAAUACCAUGGCAGCAUUCAUGGCAGAUGGUGUGUGUAAAGAAAGAUUCAAAAUCUACAAGUUCCAUUUGCUCUUUAGCAAUACAGACAUCAGCUAUAGGUUGAAGGAUAUGCUUGAACUUGGCUUCUGAAACAUUCUUAAGCAUGACCAUUGAAGUUCCACGUUCUUUUACUAUAUGCUCAUCAUUGGGUAAAUUGAAAGCAAUAGUCUGAGGACCUUUCACGUCCCCUGCAUUAUAGAUAAGUCGGAUGACACGAAUAGGAGCAGCUUUAACAUCUGUUGAUUUGUAAGCAUCGUCCAUUGGAAGAUGUUGCUCCAAAACCUGCAAAUUAUUGCCAAAGAG